Molecule: long non-coding RNA, 3379 nt
Organism: Carassius auratus (goldfish)
Lineage: Eukaryota; Metazoa; Chordata; Actinopteri; Cypriniformes; Cyprinidae
Source: Ensembl
AUGUCUUUUCCUGUUGAUUCCUCUUUCAGUUCAUUUCCAGGAGCUUUUCCAUCUGAUCCUGUUUUAAAAAUAAUCACAGAUACAUUAGGCAAUGAAACAUCUACAUUUAGUAGACAUGGUCACAUGAUUGUCACAUUAUUUUGUUACAUCACAUCACUUUCUUUUGUGGGAGCACCAAGUGUUACCUAUGAAUACUGUUGAAUGAACAAACCCUUCUUGUAUUAAAAUGAUUACAUUAAAAGACAACUACUCACCAUGUGUUUGAACUCCAGCAUCUUCAGGAUUGGUUUUACGGAUUACAAGGCUCUUUCUGCCCUGUCUGUCUCUCAAUCUCUUAUCAUCACCUAAUACUUUACUUAUGGGAGUCUCUUGAACACAAAUUGACCGUUCACCUUCUCUUUCUUUGAGCUCUGGUCUUGGUGUCUUUUCUUGUGUGUCAUCAACACCUGGAAACAGAGACUUAUAAGUUGUAUAAACAGAAACAGAAACUAUUUAUACUGUUAAAGGGGUCAUUAGGGCUGGGCGAUAUAUCUAACGAUAUGAUCAUGCGCAUCUAAUCAGUAAAGCUGCUUCCGUGAUCACCGCUAAAAUCUCCAUCACCUGCUUAUAAUUGGAGUGGCAUUUAAUAGACAGCAGAGGUGGGACUUUCAAGUCACAAGCAAGUCUUCAAGUCAUAUCCCAAGUCCUCAAAGGGUUAAAGUUAAUGAGAUAAUUAAGUGACUAAUGAAAUGAUGAUUGUACAUUAGUGAUGAACAUCUGCUGUUAACAAUCAACAUCACUGAAGUAAAGAGAAACACAAGAACUACAACUGCAUUUAGCCACAGCCUUCAACUGAAAAAAAAAAAAAAAAAACACUAUGGCACCAUAAUUGUGGUCAGGGUUUGCUUUAGGUAGUCUCUUGACCCUUUUACUAAUUCAAAGCAAUUUGAUUCAAAACAACUUCAACAUUGUUUUUGCAACAAACAUGUAUGCAUUGCUGAAUCAAACCUUGUAGUGACAGAUGAUCUUAUGCUUUUUCUGCUUAUAACUCAUGUUGACUUGGACAUCAUGAGAUAGUCUUCUUUGGAUUGUUGACUGACAUUCAGCUUUUACCAGAGUGGGGACUUUCAAGUCACAAGCAAGUCUUCAAGUCAUAUCCCAAGUCCUCAAAGGGUUAAAGUUAAUGAGAUAAUUAAGUGACUAAUUAAAUGAUGAUUGUGCAUUAAUGAUGAACACCUGCUGUUCUUGAGAAUUACAGAGGAUCAGAUGUUGAUGUUUUAUUGGUUAAAGUGAUGCAACCAUAAUGGAGAUCAGCGUGUGCUUUAGUGGGGCUCUUGACCCUUGACUGUCAUGUUAGAUCUCUUUAUGUAGCAUUGCAUGAGGUGCUGUAAAGCAGAGAGAAGAAAUUAAUCUGUAUGUGAUAGGUGGUCAGAUUACAAUCAAGUUAACAUUAGCUCUAUUUAAGUUUAGCAUAAUCAACCCAGUAAAACUACACUAUGGAAAAAAAUUAAAGUGAAUUUUAAAUCUACUAAGUACAUACAAAAUUUGAAAAACUAUAUUCUGUAGACACACACAGACAUCAAGAACCAGCAUAUGACUCUCAACAGUGGUGACAAUCAACAAAAUGUUGCAUGCUGGGUAAAACCUUAGUAAAAACUCCCGUCAUGCACUGCAGUAUGAAAAAUUGUCACCCCUGUUGAGGAUCGUGUGAUAAGUGUGUUUGUCUAAAAACCUGAACUGAUUGUCUCCUUUUGUGUCUUUCAACAUUUAGAUUUUUUUUUUUUUUACUUCAGUUCAGUAAUAGUUGAGUGUCAGUCUACUAUCCAAAGAUAAACACCAUUUCAUGAUGUUCAGUCAUCAUAAGCUAUAAUCAGAAAACACAUAAGAUCAUCUGUUACUGCAAGGUUCGACUCAGCAAUGCAUACAUGUUUGUUGCGAAAACAAUAUUGCAAUUGUUUUGAAUCAAAUUGGUUUGAAUUAGUAAAAGGGUCAAGACACUACUUAAAGCAAACCUUGACCACAAUUAUGGUGACAUAGUGUUUGUUUUUUUUCGUUUACUUUUUUUUCAGUUGAAGGCUGUGGCUAAAUUCAGUUGUAGUUCUUGUGUUUCUCUUUACUUCAGUGAUGUUGAUUGUUGACAGCAGGUGUUCAUCACUAAUGCACAAUCAUCAUUUAAUUAGUCACUUAAUUAUCUCUUUAGCUUUAACCCUUUGAGGACUUGAAUAUGACUUGAAGACUUGCUUGUGACUUGAAAGUAGGGCUGGGCGAUAUAUCGAACGAUAUGAUCAUGCGCAUCUAAUCAGUAAAGCUGCUUCUGUGAUCACCGCUAAAAUCUCCAUCACCUGCUUAUAAUUGGAGUGGCAUUUAUUAGACAGAGCCGUAGAUCGCUGACAAGCCACGCCAUAUCGCGUUCAUUAUCGCAGAUGAAUCGCCUUCGAUAAUGAACGCGAUAUGGCGUGGCUUGUCAGCGAUCUACGGCUCUGUCUAUCAGAGGUGGGACUUUCAAGUCACAAGCAAGUCUUCAAGUCAUAUUCAAGUCCUCAAAGGGUUAAAGCUAGAGAUAAUUAAGUGAAUAAUUAAAUGAUGAUUGUGCAUUAGUGAUGAACAUCUGCUGUUAACAAUCAACAUCACUGAAGUAAAGACAAACACAAGAACUACAACUGAAUUUAGCCACAGCCUUCAACUGAAAAAAAAAGUAAAAGAAAAAAAAACACUAUGCCACCAUAAUUGUGGUCAGGGUUUGCUUUAAGUAGUGUCUUGACCCUUUUACUAAUUCAAACGAAUUUGAUUCAAAACAAUUGCAAUAUUGUUUUCGCAACAAACAUGUACGCAUUGCUGAGUCAAACCUUGCAGUAACAUCUUAUCUUAUGCUUUUUCUGCUUAUAACUCAUGAUGACUGAACAUCAUGAAAUUGUGUUUUUCUUUGGAUAGUAGACUGACACUCAGCUAUUACUGAACUGAAGUAAAAAAAAAAAUCACAAUGCUUCAUUGCUGAAAGACACAAAAGGAGACAAUCAGUUCAGGUUUUUAGACAAACACACUUAUCACACGAUCCUCAACAGUGGUGACAAUUUUUCAUACUGCAGUGCAUGACGGGAGUUUUUACCCAGCAUGCAACAUUUUGUUGAUUGUCACCACUGUUGAGAGUCAUAUGCUGGUUCUUGAUCUCUGUGUGUGUCUACAGAGUAUAGUUUUUCAAAUUUUGCAUGCACUUAGAAGAUUUAAAAUUCACUUUAAUUUUUUUUCCAUAGUGUAGUUUUACUGGUUUGAUUAUGCUAAACUUAAAUAGAGCUAAUGUUAACUUGAUUGUAAUCUGACCACCUAUCACAUACAGAUUAAUUUCUUCUCUCUGCUUUACAGCACCUCAUGCAAUGCUACAUAAAGAGAUCUAAGAUGACAG